AGUGAACGCUGGCGGUAGGCCUAACACAUGCAAGUCGAACGGCAGCACAGUAAGAGCUUGCUCUUACGGGUGGCGAGUGGCGGACGGGUGAGGAAUACAUCGGAAUCUACUUUUUCGUGGGGGAUAACGUAGGGAAACUUACGCUAAUACCGCAUACGACCUACGGGUGAAAGCAGGGGAUCUUCGGACCUUGCGCGAUUGAAUUAGCCGAUGUCGGAUUAGCUAGUUGGCGGGGUAAAGGCCCACCAAGGCGACGAUCCGUAGCUGGUCUGAGAGGAUGAUCAGCCAAACUGGAACUGAGACACGGUCCAGACUACUACGGGAGGCAGCAGUGGGGAAUAUUGGACAAUGGGCGCAAGCCUGAUCCAGCCAUACCGCGUGGGUGAAGAAGGACUUCGGGUUGUAAAGCCCUUUUGUUGGGAAAGAAAAGCAGCAGGUUAAUACCCCGCUGUUCUGACGGUACCCAAAGAAUAAGCACCGGCUAACUUCGUG
This 492-nucleotide ribosomal RNA is filed under the name uncultured bacterium. Its description in RNAcentral is "partial 16S ribosomal RNA". It matches the Rfam family "Bacterial small subunit ribosomal RNA", at positions 29 to 507 of the family's 1533-position model. The record is from RNAcentral.